UCAGGAAUGGUGUAACGGUAGCACGACGCACUCUGGAUGCGUUAGUCCUGGUUCGAAUCCAGGUUCCUGAG
This 71-nucleotide transfer RNA is filed under the name Truepera radiovictrix DSM 17093. It matches the Rfam family "tRNA". Rfam says of the family: Transfer RNA (tRNA) molecules are approximately 80 nucleotides in length. Their secondary structure includes four short double-helical elements and three loops (D, anti-codon, and T loops). The record is from Rfam by way of RNAcentral. Lineage: Bacteria; Thermotogati; Deinococcota; Deinococci; Trueperales; Trueperaceae.